AUAGAUCGUAACCGACUGGCAACCCUCUACAUCUCUCUCACUUUGUUCUCUCUCGCGGUGCCCUAUCUUUCUCCUGUCGCCCCCCUCUCUCUUUCUCUGAAGUCUGAAGACGAUGACCAUACCGAUGCCGAUGGCCUUAUAUCUCACUCACAAACAUUUGGUUUGGUUCAAUCCGUAUUCCACAUCAGAUCAUUCCGUUCGAUUCAAUCUCUUUGUUUCCAGUUGAAGCCCUAAUACCUCACUCUCACUCCCACUCACUCUCAUUCGGUUCAAUAUUUGUAUUCGACAUCAAAUCGAAUUGCUCCAGGUAUGCAGAAAUCCAAGAUAGGUCAUUGUUAUGACAGCUACGGUGAACAUCCCAAGAUUAUUUUGGAUCUCUGUAGACACUUUGCAAGUCCUCAUAUAGUGGUUAGAAGCACUGUGCAUCAUGCAUGUAUUGCCUAGAGGGAUGUUUGGCUUCUCAACUUUUGGAAUAGCAGUGGCACUUUUGGAAGACGUAAGAGAGAUCACAAGAAAUGGGGCCAAAUUUGUGGAUGGACAAGAGAGGGAGAUAAAAUGGUAGAAAAGUCGUCAUAAGCUGCUUUAAAUUCUGAUGGCACCAUUCCAGAGAAAAAAGAUGCAGUGAUAAUGCAUAACCAGCUCUAACAGAUGCUCGUGGGUUGUCAUGUGGCUUCAUGGUUGCAAGUUCUUCAAGUUGUCAUCUUUCAUCUUAUGAAGAGGUUGUUAUUUACCUUUCGGUGGAAGUCACAACAACUCGAACGGCCAACAUGGUUCUCUUUUCUUUAGUCAAUUGAAUAUUUAAGACAUUUGAAUUUUUGCUGUAUUUUCUUUGGUUAAUAGCAUGUGUUGUAAAUAUUUUAUCAUAAUGAACUAUAAAGAGAAUUCUUUUGGUACA
This is a long non-coding RNA of Cornus florida, 895 nucleotides long. RefSeq lists it as uncharacterized. The record is from RefSeq and is a predicted model, not a curated record. Lineage: Eukaryota; Viridiplantae; Streptophyta; Magnoliopsida; Cornales; Cornaceae. The transcript has 4 exons.